GAUGAACGCUGGCGGCGUGCCUAAUACAUGCAAGUCGAGCGAACGGACGAGAAGCUUGCUUCUCUGAUGUUAGCUGCGGACGGGUGAGUAACACGUGGAUAACCUACCUAUAAGACUGGGAUAACUUCGGGAAACCGGAGCUAAUACCGGAUAAUAUUUUGAACCGCAUGGUUCAAAAGUGAAAGACGGUCUUGCUGUCACUUAUAGAUGGAUCCGCGCUGCAUUAGCUAGUUGGUAAGGUAACGGCUUACCAAGGCAACGAUGCAUAGCCGACCUGAGAGGGUGAUCGACCACACUGGAACUGAAACACGGUCCAGACUCCUACUGGAGGCAGCAGUGGGGAAUCUUCCGCAAUGGGCGAAAGCCUGACGGAGCAACGCCGCGUGAGUGAUGAAGGUCUUCGGAUCGUAAAACUCUGUUAUUAGGGAAGAACAUAUGUGUAAGUAAAUGUGCACAUCUUGACGGUACCUAAUCAGAAAGCCACGGCUAACUACGUG
RNAcentral lists this ribosomal RNA (497 nucleotides) under uncultured bacterium. RNAcentral's name for it is "partial 16S ribosomal RNA". It matches the Rfam family "Bacterial small subunit ribosomal RNA", at positions 28 to 507 of the family's 1533-position model. The record is from RNAcentral.